Molecule: transfer RNA, 72 nt
Filed under: Camelus bactrianus (Bactrian camel)
Lineage: Eukaryota; Metazoa; Chordata; Mammalia; Artiodactyla; Camelidae
Also listed under: 2 other names
Rfam family: tRNA
About the family: Transfer RNA (tRNA) molecules are approximately 80 nucleotides in length. Their secondary structure includes four short double-helical elements and three loops (D, anti-codon, and T loops). Further hydrogen bonds mediate the characteristic L-shaped molecular structure. tRNAs have two regions of fundamental functional importance: the anti-codon, which is responsible for specific mRNA codon recognition, and the 3' end, to which the tRNAs corresponding amino acid is attached (by aminoacyl-tRNA synthetases). tRNAs cope with the degeneracy of the genetic code in two manners: having more than one tRNA (with a specific anti-codon) for a particular amino acid; and 'wobble' base-pairing, i.e. permitting non-standard base-pairing at the 3rd anti-codon position.
Source: Rfam by way of RNAcentral
GAGGGUAUAGCUCAUUGGUAGAGCACAUGCUUAGCAUGCACAAGGUCCUGGGUUCAAUCCCUGGUACCUCCA